Molecule: non-coding RNA, 345 nt
Organism: Pelobates cultripes (western spadefoot toad)
Lineage: Eukaryota; Metazoa; Chordata; Amphibia; Anura; Pelobatidae
Source: the annotation of a GenBank genome assembly
CUGUUACUGCUCCCACUGGAAGGCUAUUCCAGGUAUCUACUACCCUUUCUAUAUCACUGUUACCGCUCCCACUGGAAGGCUAUUCCAGGUAUCUACUACCCUUUCUAUAUCACUGUUACCGCUCCCACUGGAAGGCUAUUCCAGGUGUCUACUACCCUUUCUAUAUCACUGUUACUGCUCCCACUGGAAGGCUAUUCCAGGUAUCUACUACCCUUUCUAUAUCACUGUUACUGCUCCCACUGGAAGGCUAUUCCAGGUAUCUACUACCCUUUCUAUAUCACUGUUACCGCUCCCACUGGGAGGCUAUUCCAGGUAUCUACUACCCUUUCUAUAUCUGUUACUGCU